UGGUGGAGUGAUUUGUCUGGUUAAUUCCGUUAACGAACGAGACCCCUGCCUGCUAAAUAGCCUGGCGAGUGAUCUUCACUGGCUCUUGGCUUCUUAGAGGGACGUGCAUUCGACUAGUUGCAGGAAGAUAGGGGCAAUAACA
This 142-nucleotide ribosomal RNA is filed under the name uncultured eukaryote. Its description in RNAcentral is "partial 18S ribosomal RNA". It matches the Rfam family "Eukaryotic small subunit ribosomal RNA", at positions 1299 to 1458 of the family's 1831-position model. The record is from RNAcentral.